Molecule: ribosomal RNA, 253 nt
Filed under: uncultured bacterium
Lineage: Bacteria
Description: partial 16S ribosomal RNA
Rfam family: Bacterial small subunit ribosomal RNA
Source: RNAcentral
UACGGAGGGUGCAAGCGUUAUCCGGAUUCACUGGGUUUAAAGGGUGCGUAGGUGGGCAGGUAAGUCAGUGGUGAAAUCUCCGGGCUUAACCCGGAAACUGCCAUUGAUGCUAUCAGUCUUGAAUACCGUGGAGGUAAGCGGAAUAUGUCAUGUAGCGGUGAAAUGCUUAGAUAUGACAUAGAACACCAAUUGCGAAGGCAGCUUACUACCCGAAUAUUGACACUGAGGCACGAAAGCGUGGGGAUCAAACAGG